This 253-nucleotide ribosomal RNA is filed under the name uncultured bacterium. RNAcentral's name for it is "partial 16S ribosomal RNA". It matches the Rfam family "Bacterial small subunit ribosomal RNA", at positions 524 to 776 of the family's 1533-position model. The record is from RNAcentral.
UACGAAGGGGGCUAGCGUUGCUCGGAAUCACUGGGCGUAAAGCGCACGUAGGCGGGUUCUUAAGUCAGGGGUGAAAUCCUGGAGCUCAACUCCAGAACUGCCUUUGAUACUGAAGAUCUUGAGUUCGGGAGAGGUGAGUGGAACUGCGAGUGUAGAGGUGAAAUUCGUAGAUAUUCGCAAGAACACCAGUGGCGAAGGCGGCUCACUGGCCCGAUACUGACGCUGAGGCACGAAAGCGUGGGGAGCAAACAGG